RNAcentral lists this transfer RNA (59 nucleotides) under Phelsuma laticauda (broad-tailed day gecko). RNAcentral's name for it is "tRNA-Ser". Lineage: Eukaryota; Metazoa; Chordata; Lepidosauria; Squamata; Gekkonidae. The record is from RNAcentral.
AGAGGGACAACAUUGACCUGCUAACCCAAUUCACCAGAACUAACCACCUGGCCCCCUUA